RNAcentral lists this long non-coding RNA (6289 nucleotides) under Sus scrofa (pig). RNAcentral describes it as "lncRNA (ENSSSCG00000049369.1)". Lineage: Eukaryota; Metazoa; Chordata; Mammalia; Artiodactyla; Suidae. The record is from RNAcentral.
UGUGUUAAUUUCUGCUGUAGAAAGCAAAGUGAUUCAGUUAUACAUAUACAUUAUACAAAGUUAUACAGUUAUAUAUAUACAUACAUACAUAUAUAAUCCCUCUUUUUCAAAUUCUUUUCCAUUAUGAUUUAUCACAGAAUAUUGAAUAUAGUUCCCUGUUCUAUACAGUAGGACCUUGUUAUUAAUCCAUCCUCUAUAUACUAUCUUGUAUCUGCUAAUCCCAAACUCCCAAUCCUUCCCUCACUGACCACCCCACCCCUUGGCAACUACGGGUUUUUUCUCAAUGUCUCUGAGUCUUGAAAUUUGUUCUUAUGCACUUUCUUAGAACAACAUUCUCUGCCUUCAGAGCACUGACUUCUGCGCAACUGUGUGACUGAUUGGGGCCCAUCUCUCUGACAGACUAAAAGCUUCAUGAGGGAAGGUUGAUGCUGGUUUUUCUCUUGACUUUAUUCCUGUUGCCUCAUAAGUGUGUACCUCGUAGAAGGUGCUCACCAUGUCUGGGUUAGUUCAUGAGUGAAUGCAAGAACUGAGUGAUCAGUUGAGGGUUUUAAGAAGAAGGAGGUUAUUUUAAUACUUCUAAACAAUGCACAUUCAAUAUUUUAGGACUGGAAAAUUGGGUGCUCACUCUUUCCAGAGGGCAGAUAUGGUUUUAAAAGAGUCUUCUUCCAUGCUUCUUCCCAACCUGCUUCUGGAACUAGGCCAACAGAUCACCCAGGAGCUGUGUCUCAAUGAUACCUAGACUCAGGCUCCAGCUUCUCCCUGAAUCAGUGCCAGCUGUGCUGGUGGCUUUUGAGAUGCACACAGCUUUCCUAUGAGGUCAUUACUGAUGGAAACUAUCAACACCUCUGCCCCUUGGGGAGGGUAAGAAGUCAGCUCCAUUCAAAUAAGCAUUCCUCAGGCUCCUGCCUUGGAAACACUCUCCUGUUCCUACUGCAGAUGUUUUAGUUGGAGGAACAGGAUAAAGUAUGACACUGAAGGGUGAAAAUCAGAGCAGACCCAAUACAGCUCCAUUGGGAAAGGAAUCAUGGAAGAGUUUCCAUGUGUCUUAAUACUAUCCUUCCUUUUUAUCAUCUCCUCCACUUAAUUUAGUCAAUCAGUGAAAUGCUAUUCCAAGUAGGUGCCAGUCUACACUAGGCAGGUAUCAGGAAAUGGUCACUCAUUCUGUCUCCCACAGAAUGGAAAUUACUAGAGUGUAAAAUUUUUUUAGCUUCUUGAUGCUAUCACACCAGUGUUUAAGACUAGUUUAUUUUAUAAAAAAGUCAUGUGUAGUUCUAGGUAUUAUCAUUCUUGUGUAUCAAUACAGACUAAUUGUAAGCAAAGGGAUAUAUACACCAAGAUUAUCAGGUAAUACAAAAUGCACAAGUGAGAAGGGGAGAAUUCAUUAUGUAAAAUAUGAGCAAGGGGAGUUCCCAUUGCGGCUCAUUGGUUAACGAAUCUGAGUGGGAACCAUGAGGUUGUGGAUUCGAUCCCUGGCCUUGCUCAGUGGGUUAAGGAUCCGGCGUUGAGGUGAGCUGUGGUGUAGGUCACAGACGCAGCUCGGAUCCCGCAUUGCUGUGGCUCUGGUGUAGGCCGAUGGCUAUAGCUUCAAUUAGACCCCUAGCCUGGGAAUCUCCAUAUGCGGCCCUAGAAAAGACAAAUAUAUAUAUAUGUAUAUAUGAGCAAGGAACAAGUUACUUUGUUCAUUUGGCUGUCUUGAUUUCCUCGGUGCGAAGUUGAUAAUGGUCUGAAGUAGCCUGCCUACCCGUGGGCUCUAAUAUAUGAUUAUAAGGGGGAUACAUGUCUUCAUUCACCAAACCUUUAUGGAGGUCCCACUGUGGAGUAGGAACGAUGCUCUGCUCAGGGAGGAAAAUGGUCUAAGACAUUCCCUGAUCAUAAGGAGUCUGCGGUCUAGCAGAGUUGUUUACCAAAAGGUGGGUGAGAUGGUAGCUGUCUGGGGAAAAAAAGGUCAAAGAAGAUGAUGUAUUACUUGAAAUCGCAGUAACAAAUUGUGUUUGGCAAAGAAAUUCCAAGAAUAUUAACAUAAUUGGAGUGUUUAUGAGAAGGAAAAGUCUCAUAUUACAGCAGCAAUUUUCAAGAAGCUGAAAAAGAAAAGCUGGCAUUUAGGGGAAUGUAGAAUCUUAGACACAUUUGGAGGAGCCCUUUGAAGUUUUAGCGAGUGGAGUUCUGGUUAAUGUUUCCAUAGCAAGGCUGGGGCACAGGUUAUGAAGACAGCAUCAGGGAAACUAACACUUCAACCACUCUUGAAACAGCUGCUUAAACAGCAGGCAGGCUAUAACCCAGGUAAGAUCAGAAGACACCACAGGUGUUUUCCUGGGCCAGAAAAUGCAGGAUUCGAAUAGCUACUGAUAGGUAGAAAAUUAAAUUCUUACAAUUAAUAUUUUCAAAAAACACAAUGGUACACAAAUGUAAUGUUAUUUCCUACUCUAAGGGGGGGGGGAUGUGAACAGUCAGGGAAAGAGAGCACAAAAAGAGAAUGCAAAAAGAAGAGAGAGCUAAUUCCCACUCAAGACAAAAACUCACCACAGUGACAGGCCUGCUGAGCAAAAGCCCAUUUAGCAAGAACAACACAGACCUUCAUCUCAAAUUUUAUCAGAAGCCACUGGUCCUAGAGUAUCACUGGCGCCUACUGAAUUUUCACCAGGGAUUUAACAGAAAACAUCUGUUCUCUUACUUAAAAGUCAAUUGAUUAAAUCAACAUUUGCUUCCUUCUAUUAGAAGCAUAGCUAUUUCUCUUUUUCUUCUUUCCUGAUUCUUUUAAUAACUUACUUCUGUUCGUGAGUUAAAAUCUGGGACAGAGGUGUGUCUCUUUCUAUGCCUACACGGGGAAAUUUACUGCAGGUCAAUCUGAAACGAUGUCGGAAAUUCAUGGAUGUAAACAAUUUGAUAAAGUAAUGUUUAAUAUGUAAAUUAAAGCUUAUAUAACCACAAAAAAUGACCUCAAGCAGCAGAUACAUGUGUGAAUGUGAAUGUGAGUGUGUGUGAGUGUGUGUGUGUGUGUGUGUGUGUGUGUGUGUGUGGUGUGUGAGCACAAAUACACAAAAUUCUCACUGCCUUGCAAAAACCCUGAUCAUAAUCUCGAAGUUUUAUUUUGAAAUUUGACCUUCAUGUUUCGACUCAUUUCAGUUUUUACAAAGGAGAUUCCAUAGCAUGAGUGGAUCAGGUCUGUUUUAACUCAGGCUUUUUAAUUUGAAAAUGGAAUCUUUGUGAUGAAACUGCUGUGGUUGAAAUCCAUGUUGCCUCAUAUAUUGUUCUGAGCCACUAAGACUACUCUCCUGUAUCAGCACCCACUAAACAACGGGAUCCAUAUGAAGCAGAUCCUCAGGGAACAAGAAUAAAAAUAGCAGCCAACUGUAGAGCAUGAAUGUAGUCAUUCGCCAGACAGACCCUUGUCCAACAUCGACAACAUGCCAAGUGCUGUUCUGGGCCCUGGGGAUGCAUGGAUAAAUGACAGAGUGUUUGCUGUAAAGGAUUUCACAACUGAAUAGGGAAGAGAAAUAAACCUCCAGCCACAAUAGCCUGAGAUAAAUGCUGUGCUGAGGGACAGAUAAAGUGACAUGAGAUAACAGAGGCAAGAGGGAAUAACUCUGCCUUCAGGGAAGAUUCCCCAGAUUUGAACAAAACCUCAUGAAGGAUAAGCCCCACUGCUCACGUAUUUCUCUGACAUAUUUCUCUAAACUUGGCAAGUCAUUUCAUUGCUCUGCUCUUCAGAUUCUAUCAACCAGCCAAGAGAAUUCAUAGUAAGUCAUGUGUUUAGAAGACAAGCAGAGAAAAGUCUACUCCUAAAGCCUCGUAUAUGUAAAUUUGAAGAUUGGGGCUAGGAUGAGGAGAGUGAGAAGAAAUAGGAGUAAAAACAAAAUACAGGAGAGUGGCAUCCUUAGGAGAGAAACUGAAGAGAAACUGUUUCGCAUGCCAUUUUACCUCUUUGUCACUUUGCCAUCUUGGAUUUAUAGGCGGCAUUGCUGAAUAGGAAAAUGAAAUAAUAUGAAUAGUUAUAAUCUCCCUCUUGCCCUUCAUCAAUCAAUAGGGCAUAUAAAAAACACAAUGGUUUAAAAUUAAGGAUAAAAUUAUCCUGGCAUUAAGGCUCAGAAAUAAUAGCAUGUUGCAUAGAUUACAUUACAUACUGCACUAGCAUGUGGAAGAGAUGGGCAGGAAAUACCAGGUUAGCAAGCAGACAAGAAGAGCAACCAGAGGCCUCUGGAGAAAUUGUGCGAAUGACACUUAACUCACACAGUUGCAGUAGAGAUAAAAUAAAAGAUGCGUGUAAAACACAUAGAACAUAGCCUGGCACAGAAUUAGCAUACAAUAAAUAAUUGUUUUUAUUGUUGUCAUUUGCCACCACCUAAAAAUAUUGCUAAUAAGAAAGGAAAGUUCCUAUCCAACACUAUUGAUUUUGCAGAGGCAAACUGAGAUGAUUAGUGAGAUGGGAAGAAAACAAAAGACUUUUCUGGGGCUGCCUCACUAUUCCUAGUGCUCCAAAGCAGCUGAUAACAAUAUGUCACUCUCCGGAGGCUCCAGGGGACCAUCCACCACCCUAAGAUCUUGACUUGGCAACAUCUUUUGGUAGGUGUCAUAAUAAAAGAAUAAAGAACAAAAGUAACCUAGAAGUGUUCCAAGAGAAAUUCCACAAAAAGGAAAACAUGAAGAACUAAAAUAAGAAAACACAUAUGAAACGUAUCAACUGCUGUACCUGUGGCUACACGUUGGCCAACUGUUGGGAGUACUGGUACUGAAGGGAAUAAUACAUUAGUAAUGACUCCUGCCCAGAAAUAAUAUAAAACACAAUGCAGAAACAUACUGGCUUAAUUUGCUGAAGGAUCUUGGAACUAAAAAAGGAAAGAAAAUAGUUGUUUCCCUCCCUGGAAUGCUCCCAAACUGGUCUGUGGUUAGUAUACCACCACCCUGGCAUCUAUCACAGAACCUCUGGUCAUCUCCACAGGGUGUGGGCUGACACUUGAUAUGAGCACGGCUCAACAUGGAGAUGCACAUGGCAGAGAGAUGUAAAUGAAAGGAAUUUUGUUUUUCACAGUAGUGUCCGAGAUGGAAGAGCCAAACCAAGAAUGAGAUAAAGUAUUAUAAUCUGACAAAGCCAGCUCAAAGCUUGGGAUGCCAUCAAAGCCAAGCACAGUAGGAGAGAAAUUUCAGAUACAUAAUUCAUACAUGGAAUUGAAAAUAACAAAAAACCUUGUCAGAGCCUCCAAAAAACAGCCAAAUCACAAAAUCUUGAGCCAUUUAGAAAAUUCUUAAUGAAGCCUCAUCCAAAAGCAACUCUGAAAACGUAUGUUCCAGUAAUUUGGUGAUUUAUUCAGCCAGCCUAUGUUAAGCAACUAUCACAUACCCAAGAAGUUGCUUAAUUUGAGGAGAUGAGCUUCUGACUUGAAGGAACUUACAAUCAGAUAUGGGAGACUAGAGACCCACUUUCCAAAGCCCAGGUGGUUUGUGUAAGGGAUGUAUUUAGAUGAAGUCAUAUAGGAGGGUAUACCUCUUAUGAAAGAAGAGAUGGAGCUCAGAAAUGAAAAAAUUCAGGCAACACACAUAACUGAAGCUCAGGAGAAACUUUGCCAAGGAUAGGAAAUGAUGUACAAUUGGCCCUCCUACCCCCGGGUUCCACAUCUAAGAAUUUCAUGUCCACAGAUUCAACCAACCAAAAUUUAAAAGUAUUUGGAAAAAAAUUCAUAAAGUUCCAAAGAGCAAAACUCAAAUUUGCCUCUUGCCUGGCAACUAUUUACUUAGCAUUUACAUUGUAUUUACAACUAUUUAUAUAGCAUUUACAUUAUAUUAGGUAUUAUAAGUAAUCUGGAGAUUUUGUAAAGUAUUUGGGAGGAUGUGCAUAGCAAUCACUUCCUCUGGAAAUGUGGGCCAUUUUGGCUGGGUUAAGAUGGGUAUAUAAAUUAUUUUCUUUCUUACUAAUAUUCAGAUUCAAUAAGAAAUACCUUAGUAACAUCAAUAAGAAUCAUAGUUGGGAGGAAUAGCUCUUCCUAAAAGAACUUGCAUACAUGUAACCUAGAAAGUUGCAUGCCAGAAAGUUGUGUGAAAGUUGCUCUAUCUCUUCUCCAAAUCUAGUAAAUUCAUCUUUUUAAAAAAACACAAUCACAAAAGCAAAAAUUUGGAGUCCCCAUUGCAGCUCAACAGGUUAAGAAUCUGACCAAUAUCCAUGAGGAUGCAGGUUGGAUCCCUGGUCUUACUCAUGGGGUUAAGGAUCUGGCAUUGCUGCAAGCACUGGCACAGGUCACAGAUCCGCCUCGGAUCCCAUGUUACUGUGACUGUGGUAUAAGUCAGCAGCUGCAGCUCC